AGAUCCCCGUGUACCUGAGGUGUACUGAAGAAGUGUGUUUAGUUUGGGACAGCAGCGUUGGCAAGGGAGAGCCUGUAGUGUGCUUCUAGACCCAGUGUCAGUGCUCCACAUCCUCAUGGAAGGAGCAUUUGUUGGCCCUGUCCUGGGAGAGGUACAUGGCUGAGGGCAGCACUGCAGCAGGGCUGCACGCCUGGCACCAGCUCUGCAGAGAAGCAUAAAGCAGAGCAGGAAACCAUACCAGUUAUAUUAGAUAACAAGAGUGCACCAAUGGCAACUGUAUGGUGAUGUUUGAUUGCAUGUGCUUGGAGUCAUAGCAGUGUCAUGACACCUGGAAAGAGCUCACAUCCACAGGCAUCACACAGGGUUUCUAGCUGCUGGGGUUGGCUGCCAGAGCUGGACUGAAAGAACUGGAAGAAGACCUUUUUGAGGCAGCAAUCCUGUCUCCAUCAUCCUCUGCAAUGAGGCAGAAGAUAUUGAGUGCCCAUGGCUUGGUAUGUCUCCUCCCUGCUGUGAUGUUCAUGGUUGGCCCAUUAAAGCAGAGGUGUGAACGCAGAGUUCCAAAAGAAGGUGCAUGUUGGUUUUUCUGCUCUUCUGCAGCAGAGAUGCUGGGGACGUGGUGCAUGAAGGAAGCCCUGGUUGCACUAUGGAAGUGGUGGGGGAAGCUGAUGGAUUUGCUUGAUCCAGAGCUCUCCAUAAUAGCAGUUGUGGGAAAGGUGUGGUUGCCCAAACCCAGGGAGGACCUGGGUCAAAUUAAUCACUUCCUAGGAGAAUUCACUGCUUACUGACUUCCCAGGGUGACUCACUCAGACGUCUAGAAUGUAGAGGUUUAGAGUGAGUCCUGCUUCAUGAGAAAAGCUAAAAAGGGAAGAGCAAGUGAAGAUAAACAAGCAAAGAGUGUGUGACUUCACCCACAGCAAAGAUGAUGAAUUAAAAAUUUCAGCAGGAAGAGCUUUGCUCUACAAAAAUCGGUCAGUAACAGCACACCAGAGCUAGCUUUACAAGGAAGACUGAUUGUCUGCUCUGUUCCUAGCCAGAAGUGGGAAUCAAAGGAGGGGAAUGGAGCACUCUACUAUUUUAUUUACUGUUAGCCAUGCUCCUUGCAAGUUGCAAUGGAGAAUGUCCUGCCAACAGCCAGCACCUGGCACUGUGAGAUCACAAGUGUCCAUGGAACUACUGGGGAGCAGCUGGGAAGUGCUCCUGAUUCUCUAGGAAUACAGCAUAAAGUCAACUGACAUUGAAUGUGCAUCACUCCAGCCUCCAAAUGCAUGCAGAGAAAAGGAUGGUGACACGAGACUCAGGACAAAUGGAAAUCCUUCUGUGAAUCUCACGAGAUGGCCGGGACCAAAAUGAACAGUUCUUCAUUUACAGCGUGAUUUAAGUGAUUUAGCUUCAGCUACGACUGAGAGCUUCAAGGUAUUCAGUUCCGUUUUCAAUGCUAAAAGUGAGGUGACAGCAAAUACCGAAGAGCAGAGAAAAUUCCUGAACCCAAAGAAGAGAUCUCACUUGACAUAUCCACUUUUCUUAGCCACGGGAGCCACGUUGCUGAUGAGGAAUGAGGUAUUUUUACUUGGACACCAGCCAGCACACAGCCACGUUAAUGUCAUUUCCCUUCUGAAGAGGAUGAGUUCAAUGGUGGCUUCGCUGUUGUUUAGAAUUCACUUCAGCUGCUUUGACUGCUGCCCUUCCCAUCUGCUGGCUGAUGGCACUGCACCAGCAGAGGCCAUCAACAGCAGAGGCCAACAUGUCUGCCCCCAACUUCUUGAGAGCUUCGAUGAGAACAAUAAAAUAAUUCCAUCUUCUCCUGGUUUUGACUGGGAUAGAGUUAAUUUCAUUCCCAGUUGCUGGCACGGUGCUGUGUUUUGGAUUUAGGGUGAGGAUAACAAUGGUAACAAAAAACCUCAAGAUUUCAGCCUAUCUUCUGAA
This is a non-coding RNA of Phasianus colchicus (ring-necked pheasant), 1923 nucleotides long. Lineage: Eukaryota; Metazoa; Chordata; Aves; Galliformes; Phasianidae. The record is from RefSeq and is a predicted model, not a curated record.